UCCGUCAAUUCCUUUGAGUUUCAGCCUUGCGGCCGUACUCCCCAGGCGGGGCACUUAUCGCGUUAGCUGCGACACGGAAGGGGUCGAUCCCACCCGCGUCUAGUGCCCAUCGUUUACGGCGUGAACUACCGGGGUAUCUAAUCCCGUUUGCUCCCCUGGCUUUCGCGCCUCAGCGUCAGUGUUGGCCCAGCAACCCGUCUUCACCUCAGGUGUUCCUCUUGAUAUCUACGCAUUUCACCGCUACACCAAGAAUUCCGAUUGCCCCUUCCACACUCUAGCACUGCAGUAUCACUUGGCCGUUCUGAGUUAAGCUCAGAGAUUUCACAAGUGACUUACCGCGCCGCCUACGCGCCCUUUACGCCCAGUAAAUCCGAACAACGCUUGGUCCCUACGUAUUACC
This 400-nucleotide unclassified non-coding RNA is filed under the name uncultured fungus. Its description in RNAcentral is "sequence contains ITS1". Lineage: Eukaryota; Fungi. The record is from RNAcentral.